This 465-nucleotide ribosomal RNA is filed under the name uncultured bacterium. Its description in RNAcentral is "partial 16S ribosomal RNA". It matches the Rfam family "Bacterial small subunit ribosomal RNA", at positions 28 to 507 of the family's 1533-position model. The record is from RNAcentral.
GACGAACGCUGGCGGCGUGCUUAACACAUGCAAGUCGAGCGAGGCCCCUCCUUCGGGCGGGUGUCCUAGCGGCGAACGGGUGGGUAGCACGUGGGCAACCUGCCCUCAGCUCUGGGAUAACUCCGGGAAACCGGGGCUAAUACCGGAUACGACCUCCACGGGCAUCUGCGGAGGUGGAAAGUUUUUCGGCUGAGGAUGGGCCCGCGGCCUAUCAGCUAGUUGGUGGGGUAGUGGCCCACCAAGGCGACGACGGGUAGCCGGCCUGAGAGGGCGACCGGCCAGACGGGGACGGAGACACGCCAGAGACCCCGCGGGGGGGGGGGGGGGGGAAAUGGGGCGCAGGGGGAGAGGGCCGAACGCAGCGCCGCCGGGGGAGGGAGGAAGGGUUGCGGGUUGAAAACCUUUUACAGCGGGCAAGAAGGGAAAGGGAGGGGCGCUGAAGAAAAAGCCCCGCCAAACUAGGUC